Molecule: ribosomal RNA, 253 nt
Filed under: uncultured bacterium
Lineage: Bacteria
Description: partial 16S ribosomal RNA
Rfam family: Bacterial small subunit ribosomal RNA
Source: RNAcentral
UACAGAGGUCUCAAGCGUUGUUCGGAUUUAUUGGGCGUAAAGGGUGCGUAGGUGGCGCCGCAAGUGGGGUGUGAAAUCUCGGGGCUUAACUCCGAAACUGCAUUCCAUACUGCGGUGCUCGAGGACUGGAGAGGAGAGUGGAAUUUACGGUGUAGCGGUGAAAUGCGUAGAGAUCGUAAGGAAGACCAGUGGCGAAGGCGGGUCUCUGGACAGUUACUGACACUGAGGCGCGAAAGCGUGGGGAGCAAACAGG